UACGGCCAUACCACCCUGAACGCGCCCGAUCUCGUCUGAUCUCGGAAGCUAAGCAGGGUCGGGCCUGGUUAGUACUUGGAUGGGAGAAAUAAGCUUUCCCUCUUAU
RNAcentral lists this ribosomal RNA (106 nucleotides) under Neogale vison (American mink). Lineage: Eukaryota; Metazoa; Chordata; Mammalia; Carnivora; Mustelidae. The record is from RNAcentral.